CCUCAGGGCUGAACAAGGGUUAUUAAUACACUUCUAUUGCUCUCUGUGGGAGAAGAGACAUCUAGAAAAUCAGCAGGAAAUAGCUCAGAGAGAUAUUUUAGUAUUAUCUAUGAUCCUAGUGGCCCUUUUUAUAUGUUUAUUAAUACAAAUAAUGCUGGUGGUGUUCCGGACUUGUCUUUUUUUUUGUGAUGUAAAUUACAAUUUCCCUCAUAUUUGUAAGGAGGCUGGAUCCAGAGAAGUUUCAAACAGAGGAAGAUAGUAGUGUGGAGCUCCCCUGUCCAUGGCUUUGGUGACCUUCUCGCAUCUUGUAAAAUCAUAAUGGCAUGGCAUAUUUCUUUAAAUUUUGGUCAGUGUAGCUGUACAGGUUACAUGCUCCAGUUGAAUAAGAGGGGAGGAAGAGAACAGAGUGUGACAUGAGGGGACCUGGUCAUGUCCAGGUCCAGAGCUAUGGCUAUCAAAGACAGGAGAACCAAAACCAGAACAACCACCCUCUGCCACCACGAGGAAUCCUUGCUUCCAUGCCCUUGCCAUCUCAGCUUCAUCCCAAAGGCUACCCAACUCAUGUCUCCCUGAUGAGAAGCACACAGCCUGCCCCUCCAGCCCCAGCAUGACAUGGCUCACCACUAGAGUUCUGCCCACUGUGACAUGGCCACUCUGUUGCUUGGGCUCAUGCUAGGAACUCAGACAGGGACCAGCUCCCAGCUACCAGGUAAACAGAUUGCAGAGCUGCCUUUGCCUGUGACCAUGGGAGCUUCCAUCUCAAUGAAAAAAAAAGUGAGAUCCACAUCAUGGUUGUCCAUUUGCUGCUCUGCCUUGAUUCUGGGCUCCAUUCAGAAAGGACCUUGGCAAGGUCCAGGCUUCCAAGUGGAGCAGCACUGAAGUCACUUGGAGACCACUGGGAGCUAUGUGAGCCACAGCUUGGGUUAAGGAUAUUAACUGCACACAUGCAAAACAGUGACUGAAAAACUGAUAAACUGUGAUGAAUGUGAUGACACCAUUAUAAUAACAUGAUGCUAAAAAGCAGUUAUAAAUGCUGUCCUUCAAGAAUGAAACAAACAGUUGAGUCACAAUUCAUCAAUUAUUCCUAGGAGACAUCUUAAAUUGGAUGUUUUGACAAAAUAUCAGCAAAAUGGUUAUUCUCAAUGACUAGAAGGAGC
Molecule: long non-coding RNA, 1157 nt
Filed under: Numida meleagris (helmeted guineafowl)
Lineage: Eukaryota; Metazoa; Chordata; Aves; Galliformes; Numididae
Description: lncRNA (ENSNMEG00000021407.1)
Source: RNAcentral